UACGUAGGGUGCGAGCGUUGUCCGGAAUUAUCGGGCGUAAAGAGCUUGUAGGCGGUUUGUCGCGUCUGCUGUGAAAAUCCGGGGCUCAACCCCGGACUUGCAGUGGGUACGGGCAGACUAGAGUGUGGUAGGGGGAGACUGGAAUUCCUGGUGUAGCGGUGAAAUGCGCAGAUAUCAGGAGGAACACCGAUGGCGAAGGCAGGUCUCUGGGCCACUACUGACGCUGGAGAAGCGGAAAAGCAUGGGGAGCGAACAGG
This 257-nucleotide ribosomal RNA is filed under the name uncultured bacterium. Its description in RNAcentral is "partial 16S ribosomal RNA". It matches the Rfam family "Bacterial small subunit ribosomal RNA", at positions 524 to 776 of the family's 1533-position model. The record is from RNAcentral.